GGAAUAACAAUGGUGAUGUUAUGGCCGCGGCUGCUCUUGACUCUAUAAGUGCAGCUUCUGCAUUAAUGCCUGAAGCACUAGCGUUCCGAUGGUGCGUAUCUUUGGCUAAGGACCUUGGAUUCUUCCGGGUGGUGUUCGAAACAGAUUGUCUCCAAUUAUUUGAGGCUUGGAAGAAGAAUAGGCCAGGAGGAAACAGUGUGGCUGAUUUCUUGGCUAAGAACUCCUCAAAAUUUUCCAACGUUGUUUGGAUUGAGGAGGUUCCCCCGGAAUUGGACCUUUUGGUGACUUCGGAUGUAUUAGCUUCUAUGGCGUUUUGAUUUAAUAUAUUAUCCAUUUUCAAAAAAAAAACAAAGUUUUUGGUA
Long non-coding RNA from Lotus japonicus, 362 nucleotides. RefSeq lists it as uncharacterized. NCBI's taxonomy places the organism in Eukaryota, Viridiplantae, Streptophyta, Magnoliopsida, Fabales, Fabaceae. The record is from RefSeq and is a predicted model, not a curated record. The transcript has 2 exons.